This 492-nucleotide ribosomal RNA is filed under the name uncultured bacterium. RNAcentral describes it as "partial 16S ribosomal RNA". It matches the Rfam family "Bacterial small subunit ribosomal RNA", at positions 29 to 507 of the family's 1533-position model. The record is from RNAcentral.
AGUGAACGCUGGCGGUAGGCCUAACACAUGCAAGUCGAACGGCAGCACAGUAAGAGCUUGCUCUUACGGGUGGCGAGUGGCGGACGGGUGAGGAAUACAUCGGAAUCUACUUUUUCGUGGGGGAUAACGUAGGGAAACUUACGCUAAUACCGCAUACGACCUACGGGUGAAAGCAGGGGAUCUUCGGACCUUGCGCGAUUGAAUGAGCCGAUGUCGGAUUAGCUAGUUGGCGGGGUAAAGGCCCACCAAGGCGACGAUCCGUAGCUGGUCUGAGAGGAUGAACAGCCACAAUGGAACUGAGACACGGUCCAGACUCCUACGGGAGGCAGCAGUGGGGAAUAUUGGACAAUGGGCGGAAGCCUGAUCCAGCCAUACCGCGUGGGUGAAGAAGGCCUUCGGGUUGUAAAGCCCUUUUUUUGGGAAAGAAAAGCAGCAGGUUAAAACCCCGGUGGUCUGACGGUAACCAAAGAAUAAGCACCGGCUAACUUCGUG